UGAGUAACACGUAGGGAACCUGCCCCUAAGACGAGGAUAACUACUGGAAACGGUAGCUAAUACUGGAUAGGAUAAGUUGACGCAUGUUGGCUUAUUUAAAGGUGCCUAUAAAGCACCGCUUAGGGAUGGCCCUGCGGCGCAUUAGCUAGUUGGUGGGGUAACGGCCUACCAAGGCGACGAUGCGUAGCUGUGCUGAGAGGCAGAACAGCCACACUGGGACUGAGACACGGCCCAGACUCCUACGGGAGGCAGCAGUAGGGAAUUUUCGGCAAUGGGGGGAACCCUGACCGAGCGAUGCCGCGUGAGUGAUGAAGGUCUUCGGACUGUAAAACUCUGUUAUUAGGGAAGAAUACUAUAGGGAGGAAAUGCCUUAUAGAUGACGGUACCUAAUGAGGAAGCCCCGGCCAACUAUGUGCCAGCAGCCGCGGUAAUACAUAGGGGGCGAGCGUUAUCCGGAAUUACUGGGCGUAAAGGGUGCGUAGGCGGUUUCUUAAGUCUAGCGUGAA
RNAcentral lists this ribosomal RNA (506 nucleotides) under uncultured bacterium. RNAcentral's name for it is "bacterial SSU rRNA". It matches the Rfam family "Bacterial small subunit ribosomal RNA", at positions 107 to 598 of the family's 1533-position model. The record is from RNAcentral.